GAUGAACGCUGGCGGUAUGCUUAACACAUGCAAGUCGAACGGUGUCUUCGGACAUAGUGGCGGACGGGUGUGUAACGCGUGGGAAGCUAACGAUGGGUUCGGGACAACCACUGGAAACGGAGGAUAAUACCGGAUAAGCUGUAAAGUGAAAGAUUAAUUUCCACUUGAGGGGCCAGCAGCUGAUUAGCGAGUUGGUGGGGUAAGAGCCUACCAAGGCGUCGCACAGUAGCCUGGCUGAGAGGACGGGCCGCCACACUUGGACUGGGACGCAGCCCAGACUCCUACGCGAUGCAGCAGUGGGGGAUGUUCCGCAAUGGGCGAAAGCCUGACGGAGCAAUACCGCGAGAGGUAUGUAGGCUGGUGAGUUGUAAACCGCUUUUCUUUGUGAAGAUAAUGACGGUACCAGAGGAAUAAGCAACGGCUAACUCCGUG
This 432-nucleotide ribosomal RNA is filed under the name uncultured bacterium. RNAcentral's name for it is "partial 16S ribosomal RNA". It matches the Rfam family "Bacterial small subunit ribosomal RNA", at positions 28 to 507 of the family's 1533-position model. The record is from RNAcentral.